Molecule: long non-coding RNA, 695 nt
Organism: Oncorhynchus tshawytscha (Chinook salmon)
Lineage: Eukaryota; Metazoa; Chordata; Actinopteri; Salmoniformes; Salmonidae
Source: Ensembl
CACAGAUUUACAAGUAGGAACCAUUUCUGACACCUAUACAUUGUUGUGCCAUUGUUGAUUAGGAUAUACAAACAAUGGUUUGAUAGUUCGCUGCAUCCUCCCUCAGGUGCACGUGCUGAAGAGAUGCAGCAACAACUAGUUGGUGCCAUUGGUGGUCAACACACAUCUUCUCCUGCUGCAGUAUGGUUGUCAUAUGCUUAUUGAGCACGCUGAUAUGUUUCAACUGGAAUGCUUUUCCAACAGCCUUGAAGGAGUUCCCACAUAUGCUGAGCAAUUUUUGGCCGCUUUUCCUUCACUCUGCAGUUCAACUCAUCCCAAACCAUCUCAUUUGGGUUGAGGUCAGGUGAUUGUGGGGGCCAGGUCAUCUGAUGCAGCACUCCAUCACUCCCCUUCUUGGUCAAAUGGCCCUUAAACAGCCUAUAGGUGUGUUAGGUCAUUGUCAUGUUGAAAAAUAAACGAUAGUUCCACUAAGCGCAAACCAGAUGGGAUGGUGUAACGCUGCAGAAUGCCGUUGGAGCCAUGCUGGUUGUGUUUUCCUUAAAUAAAUCAUAGAUAGUGUCACUAGCAUCUAAUGGUAUGUUUUUUUGUUUUUGAGUUAAUUGAUUUCAGUUAAAUGGUAAUGUGCUUAUAGGGCUUUUUUUAAAGUAUCGAGGUAACUAAGUGAGAUAUUUUGAAUGUCUGGCCUGAUAACUAUA